UUUAAGAGAUGAUUAGGUCACAAGGCCUCUCCCUCAUGAGUGAAUUAAUGCCAUUAUUGUAGGAGUGGGUUAAUUGUUGCAGGACUGGUGUACCUAAUAAAGGGUGAGUUUCUCCUCUCUGCCCCAAUGUGUGCUCUCUUUCCCUUCCACCGUCUGCCAUGGAAUAAUGCAUCAAGAAGUUCCUUGCCAGAGAUGUGGCUCUGGGGGAAAUCUUCUAGAGAUCCCUGCCUCCAUGUCCCCAAAACAGAAAUUUCAGAGACCAGUUAUCCUUUGUCUUCUCUAAGCAGCUGGUGUUUUUAAAAGAAGACCAUGUGAAGCCACUGACAGACACACAAGGAGAGCCACAUAAUGACAGAGACAGAAGUUGGAGAGAUGUGUCCACAAAUGUAGGAAUGCCAGCAACCACCAGAUGCUGACAGAGGCAAGGAAAGA
Molecule: long non-coding RNA, 432 nt
Filed under: Homo sapiens (human)
Lineage: Eukaryota; Metazoa; Chordata; Mammalia; Primates; Hominidae
Description: HSALNT0293264
Source: RNAcentral